GUGACCCCCAGCCCUGGCGUCGCGGGGGGCUCCCGUAGCAUCGCCCUUCCUACCGUGACCUCCCCGGCCCCGGCAGCUCGCCUCAAGGCAGGCCGAGGUGCCGCCGGGAACGAAAGCCGUGACCCAUUUUCCGCGUUUUUCCGAAUAAUGCUCGCGAGCAAGCGCGCCUUGUUUUGCCGAUCGGCCGCCGCUGUGGUGGGCUGGGGGCAGGUCACUACCGCGGAGAUUCGGGCAGCUCGGGGAUUUGUUUCCUGGAUGUAGGGCAUUGGGGUGCUCGCAGCCUCACCCGGGAAAAGCCCUCGAGCAUCGCCGAUCCUGUGAUGGCUGGAGCUGCAGCACCGCACCCGGCUCUGCGGAGACGCUUCUUGGCCUUAAUUUGAGGACUGGAGUGGCACCGACGCACGAGUGGCUUCCCUUGCCUAGGAAAAAGCUUAAGACUGCUGGAAGUGCUGGUUCAGGUGCAGAACCGGGGGCACUGGGAAGUCUGCGAGUCACAGGCGCUCGGAGAACCGCAAAUUGUCAUAGCAGGGGUCCCUCCUCUCCGGGAGGCUUUGCUUCGCAGGAGGGAGCGGCUUGCUAAAACAGCGAACAGAUGUAUCCCUUCUCCUGCCCUAACUUGGAUUUCUCUGUGAGACAUUAUAGCUUUUGGUGGAUCUUUGCAGCCAGUGGCGCACAAAGGUGCUUUGUGACCCACAUGGCAGGUGAAGGCUCCUGCCUGGCUUUCUAGAGCCUUCUGCUAACACAGCUUAACAGAUGAACAGCAUGACCUACAUCUUUCCUGUCCAUGUUCUUCCAGUGCUCUUGAAGAAACUCCAGGCCUAAAAUGGCAUUAUAGCUUCCUCCCUCCCCUCAAUAUCUUUCAAUUCAAACAGUUUGGACAGAUCAGGUUUCUUACUAAACAUCUAACAGAGCAACUAAGUUGUUUCUGUCCACCUUGAAGCCGUUUUGCAGUUGUGCAAACACAUGCCAUGCACCUGAGACUCUGGGCUUCCACCCAAAGUCUUUCUGUUGCAGAGAGGCCAAAUGAGUUUUGAUUCUCAAUAAAAUUCAGUUUGAUGAAAACCCUGAAAA
This is a non-coding RNA of Lonchura striata (white-rumped munia), 1071 nucleotides long. NCBI's taxonomy places the organism in Eukaryota, Metazoa, Chordata, Aves, Passeriformes, Estrildidae. The record is from RefSeq and is a predicted model, not a curated record.